UACGGAGGAGGCAAGCGUUAUCCGGAAUGAUUGGGCGUAAAGCGUCCGCAGGUGGCUAUGUAAGUCUGCUGUUAAAGAGUGAGGCUCAACCUCAUAAAAGCAGUGGAAACUACAUGGCUAGAGUGCGUUCGGGGCAGAGGGAAUUCCUGGUGUAGCGGUGAAAUGCGUAGAGAUCAGGAAGAACACCGGUGGCGAAAGCGCUCUGCUAGGCCGCAACUGACACUGAGGGACGAAAGCUAGGGGAGCGAAUGGG
Molecule: ribosomal RNA, 253 nt
Filed under: uncultured bacterium
Lineage: Bacteria
Description: partial 16S ribosomal RNA
Rfam family: Bacterial small subunit ribosomal RNA
Source: RNAcentral